RNAcentral lists this ribosomal RNA (492 nucleotides) under uncultured bacterium. Its description in RNAcentral is "partial 16S ribosomal RNA". It matches the Rfam family "Bacterial small subunit ribosomal RNA", at positions 29 to 507 of the family's 1533-position model. The record is from RNAcentral.
AGUGAACGCUGGCGGUAGGCCUAACACAUGCAAGUCGAACGGCAGCACAGUAAGAGCUUGCUCUUACGGGUGGCGAGUGGCGGACGGGUGAGGAAUACAUCGGAAUCUACUUUUUCGUGGUGGAUAACGUAGGGAAACUUACGCUAAUACCGCAUACGACCUACGGGUGAAAGCAGGGGAUCUUCGGACCUUGCGCGAUUGAAUGAGCCGAUGUCGGAUUAGCUAGUUGGCGGGGUAAAGGCCCACCAAGGCGACGAUCCGUAGCUGGUCUGAGAGGAUGGACGCCGACUCUGGGACUGAGAAAGAGUUCAGUAUACUACAGCAGGCCAAAGAGGGGGAUAUUGGCCAGAGGGCGAAAGCCUGUCACAGCCAGACCGCGUGCGUGAAGAAGGCCUUCGGGUGCUAGAACACUUUUGUUGGGGAAGAAGAGCAGCAGGUUAAUACCCCGCUUUUCUGGCAGUACCCAACUAAUAAGCACGGGCUAACUACGUA